UCCAAUUCUUUGUUCAAGACGCCAAGAACCUGGACACCUUUAACUGGUAACAUAUCUUAGUGAACCAGCCAGGAGGUAAGCCCAAAGUUUGGGAUUUAUUUUUCUCCUUUCCCCUUUCUUUUCUGCUCUAUACAAGUGAGUCUCUCUCUUUCUCUCUCUCUCUCUCUCUCUCUCUCUCUCUCUCUCUCUCUCUUUUCCUUUCCAACUUGGGACACUUGGUGGGCAGCGCCUAAACACAGAGGCAACUGCAGGCUUCUGGCCAGGGCCACUCUGAAGGACAAUUUUUUAUCUUUUCCAGUUGUGGUCCCUGAUCCCUACAUUUGGUGCAGCUCGGGCAAACUCACAUGAGUUUCAGCAAUGUGUUUGUCUGCAUACAGUUAAGCAGGGCCACUAGGGCCACUCAGGGAGAAAGAACUCAGAAGCCUGACAUGCCAGCAAAAAGGUAAAGAAAGCUUUUUAUGGUUUGGAUCUUCUGAGAACAUCAGAGAAAGACUGUCCUUGCCAUCCACACUACAGCAAAAUUUUG
This is a long non-coding RNA of Homo sapiens (human), 526 nucleotides long. RefSeq lists it as uncharacterized. NCBI's taxonomy places the organism in Eukaryota, Metazoa, Chordata, Mammalia, Primates, Hominidae. The transcript is spliced from 3 exons. The record is from RefSeq and is a predicted model, not a curated record.